RNAcentral lists this ribosomal RNA (472 nucleotides) under uncultured bacterium. RNAcentral describes it as "partial 16S ribosomal RNA". It matches the Rfam family "Bacterial small subunit ribosomal RNA", at positions 28 to 523 of the family's 1533-position model. The record is from RNAcentral.
GAUGAACGCUGACAGAAUGCUUAACACAUGCAAGUCUACUUGAUCCUUCGGGUGAUGGUGGCGGACGGGUGAGUAACGCGUAAAGAACUUGCCUUGCAGUCUGGGACAACGUCUGGAAACGGCCGCUAAUACCGGAUAUUAUGAUUGAAUCGCAUGAUUUAAUUAUGAAAGCUAUAUGCGCGGCGAGAGGGCUUUGCGUCCCAUUAGUUAGUUGGUGAGGCAACGGCUCACCAAUACGAUGAUGGGUAGCCGGCCUGAGAGGGUGAACGGCCACAAGGGGACUGAGACGCGGCCCUUACUCCUACGGGAGGCAGCAGUGGGGAAUAUUGGACAAUGGACCAAAAGUCUGAUCCAGCAAUUCUGUGUGCACGAUGAAGUUUUUCGGAAUGUAAAGUGCUUUCAGUUGGGAAGAAGAAAGUGACGGUACCAACAGAAGAAGCGACGGCUAAAUACGUGCCAGCAGCCGCAGUAA